UACGUAUGGUGCAAGCGUUAUCCGGAUUUACUGGGUGUAAAGGGAGCGCAGGCGGCACGGCAAGCCUGAUGUGAAAGCCCGCGGCCCAACCGCGGGACUGCAUUGGGAACUACAGGGCUGGAGUGCCGGAGAGGUAGGCGGAAUUCCUAGUGUAGCGGUGAAAUGCGUAGAUAUUAGGAGGAACACCAGUGGCGAAGGCGGCCUACUGGACGGUGACUGACGCUGAGGCUCGAAAGCGUGGGGAGCAAACAGG
RNAcentral lists this ribosomal RNA (253 nucleotides) under uncultured bacterium. RNAcentral describes it as "partial 16S ribosomal RNA". It matches the Rfam family "Bacterial small subunit ribosomal RNA", at positions 524 to 776 of the family's 1533-position model. The record is from RNAcentral.